Molecule: ribosomal RNA, 451 nt
Filed under: uncultured bacterium
Lineage: Bacteria
Description: bacterial SSU rRNA
Rfam family: Bacterial small subunit ribosomal RNA
Source: RNAcentral
ACGAACGCUGGCGGCGUGCUUAACACAUGCAAGUCAAGGGGUAGCAAUACCACUGGCGCACGGGUGAGUAACGCGUAGGUAAUCUGCCCCUAUCUCUGGCAUAACGUUGGGAAACCGGCGCUAAUAUCAGAUGAGGCGCUUAGGCGUCAAAGGUUUCGGCUGGAUAGGGAUGAGCCUGCGUCUGAUUAGCUUGUUGGCGGGAUAAAAGCCCACCAAGGCUUCGAUCAGUAGCUGGUCUGAGAGGACGAUCAGCCACACUGGAACUGAGACACGGUCCAGACUCCUACGGGAGGCAGCAGUGAGGAAUUUUGGUCAAUGGGGGAAACCCUGAACCAGCGACGCCGCGUGUAGGACGAAUGAGCUUUGCUCUGUAAACUACUGUCGGGAGGGAAGAAAAGCCGGCUCAGCCGGCUGGGACUGUACCUUCAAAGGAAGGAUCGGCUAACUACGU